This 468-nucleotide ribosomal RNA is filed under the name uncultured bacterium. RNAcentral's name for it is "partial 16S ribosomal RNA". It matches the Rfam family "Bacterial small subunit ribosomal RNA", at positions 28 to 507 of the family's 1533-position model. The record is from RNAcentral.
GACGAACGCUGGCGGCGUGCUUAACACAUGCAAGUCGAACGGAAAGGCCCUGCUUUUGUGGGGUGCUCGAGUGGCGAACGGGUGAGUAACACGUGAGUAACCUGCCCUGGACUUUGGGAUAACUUCAGGAAACUGGGGCUAAUACCUGAUAGGAGCUCCUGCUGCAUGGUGGGGGUUGGAAAGUUUCGGCGGUUGGGGAUGGACUCGCGGCUUAUCAGCUUGUUGGUGGGGUAGUGGCUUACCAAGGCUUUGACGGGUAGCCGGCCUGAGAGGGUGACCGGCCACAUUGGGACUGAGAUACGGCCCAGACUCCUACGGGAGGCAGCAGUGGGGAAUAUUGCACAAUGGGCGGAAGCCUGAUGCAGCAACGCCGCGUGCGGGAUAACGGCCUUCGGGUUGUAAACCGCUUUCGCCUGUGACGAAGCGUGAGUGACGGUAAUGGGUAAAGAAGCACCGGCUAACUACGUG